UGCAUCGAGGAGGAGAUAAGAUUCCAAGACUAAAUACCCUUCUCCGUCGUCCUUCAUCUCUACAAAACACCAAUCUGCAAAGGAUAUCUCAUUUUAUCGAGAAGAUUGCGACCUGCAAAGAAAGCCAGUAUUUUGAAAACCGAGUUUCAAAUUAUCGAAAUAGGGCGAAAUAAGGCAAAUCCUUUUAAGUACUGGCUGCCGGAAGGAAUGAGUAGACUCAGGUUUUGGCUGCUCCAACUGCGCUGUCGAAGAGACAUGCUGAUGGUUCAUUGCCAAUUGAAGAUUUCAACAUAGUACUUGAAAAUCAGAGUGGGAAGAAAGUACAAAUGGGAUCGGAGACUGAUCAGCGGGCAAUCAUGAUGAGCCUGAUGUUAAAUACCAAUGCAAAGCAACUGAUUAAAGCACAAAAUU
Molecule: long non-coding RNA, 411 nt
Filed under: Rosa chinensis
Lineage: Eukaryota; Viridiplantae; Streptophyta; Magnoliopsida; Rosales; Rosaceae
Description: sRNA RchiOBHm_Chr7g0226021
Source: RNAcentral